Molecule: ribosomal RNA, 32 nt
Filed under: Trichomonas tenax
Lineage: Eukaryota; Parabasalia; Trichomonadida; Trichomonadidae
Description: partial 18S small subunit ribosomal RNA
Source: RNAcentral
UUUCGGUAGGUGGAACCUGCCGUUGGAUCAGU